UAUAGCUCAGUGAUAGAGCACUUGCUUGGUAUGCAUAAGACUGUGAGUGAAAUCCUCAUUA
This 61-nucleotide transfer RNA is filed under the name Dipodomys ordii (Ord's kangaroo rat). It matches the Rfam family "tRNA", at positions 6 to 65 of the family's 71-position model. From Rfam's summary of the family: Transfer RNA (tRNA) molecules are approximately 80 nucleotides in length. Their secondary structure includes four short double-helical elements and three loops (D, anti-codon, and T loops). The record is from Rfam by way of RNAcentral. Lineage: Eukaryota; Metazoa; Chordata; Mammalia; Rodentia; Heteromyidae.